CUACGGGAGGCAGCAGUAGGGAAUAUUGGACAAUGGGCGCAAGCCUGAUCCAGCCAUGCCGCGUGCAGGAAGAAGGCGUUAUGCGUUGUAAACUGCUUUUGAUUGGGAAUAAAAAGACCCUGCGGGGUAAAUUGAAUGUACCAAUAGAAUAAGCCACGGCUAACUACGUGCCAGCAGCCGCGGUAAUACGUAGGUGGCGAGCGUUAUCCGGAUUUAUUGGGUUUAAAGGGAGCGUAGGCGGUUUUGUAAGUCAGCGGUGAAAGACGGUCGCUCAACGAUCGCAUUGCCAUUGAUACUGCAAGGCUAGAGUACAGUAGAGGUAGGCGGAAUUUAUGGUGUAGCGGUGAAAUGCAUAGAUACCAUAAAGAACACCGAUUGCGAAGGCAGCUUACUAGACUGUAACUGACGCUGAGGCUCGAAAGUGCGGGUAUCAAACAGGAUUAGAUACCCGUGUAGUCC
Molecule: ribosomal RNA, 459 nt
Filed under: uncultured bacterium
Lineage: Bacteria
Description: bacterial SSU rRNA
Rfam family: Bacterial small subunit ribosomal RNA
Source: RNAcentral